Molecule: long non-coding RNA, 336 nt
Organism: Chelonia mydas (Green sea turtle)
Lineage: Eukaryota; Metazoa; Chordata; Testudines; Cheloniidae
Exons: 3
Source: RefSeq, a predicted model, not a curated record
UCAGCUGGGAAGGAAGAGGAAAAGCCUCUGUGCAGAGGACAGGAACAGUGUGUGGGGAUCCAGGCAAACUUCUGGAGUCUCUUCUUGCUGGUAGUGCCCUAACAUGACUACACCAUUAUCCAUGGGGGACAAGGGCAGUGAGAGGACUGCUGUGGAGCAGGGCACAGGACCACAGAGAAGGAAACGGCUGUGAAUGAGGCAGAAGUCCUAUGGAAAAAAAUAGUUUGCAUCAGAGUAUUCUAAGAAGCUCUGGGAAGCUAUCCCAGACUGCCUCAGCCUGGAACACAUCCACAUAGACAUGGGAAAAUGGGAAAACAGUUUACUGAAAUUUCUAAG